CUCCUUGCGGGUCCGAGUCACAAACAGCUGGCUCCUCCUCACUUCCUCCUCCUUGGGGAUCAGAGCUGUUGUCCUGCCCAGGACCCUCCCUGGCCAAUGACAGCCCACCAGCAGAGCUCAGCCCACUACUCAGAACCAGAACCCACCGGUGGUGAAGAAGCCGGGGCUGUGUCUGCCCCCCACCAGUCCCGUUUGACCUCUGAAGAUCUCUCCGGGUGGCGUCAGUCUCCCCAUCAUUGUGAAGUACCGGCUAGGAGUCUCUGAGCAGCCCCACGGGUUUGGAGAACUGUCCUCUGUGCUAAGUAGCCUCAUCGAGUGGCCCGUUUCCUCCCUGGGGCUGUCCUGUGGUUAUUGACUGCAAAUCGAUGGCCGAGGUUGCCCCGGAGGUGAGAGAGAAUUCCCACGGUGCCUUAUGGCCCAGAGGCCCCGCGGAUGAUCUCACAGAAGUGGGGCAGGUAUUUUUUACCAGCCGUUUAAUUACAGAGUUUGGAUCCCAGAGGAGAGAUGCAAUGGUGCUCCCAGGAGCUCCGAGGGAAAGGCCAUGCUGGGAAAUGUGGGGAUCCUGGGAGGACAGGUGAGGGCAUGACCCACUGUCUCAGUUCCCCUAACACCAGGCUGUCCCCCUCAGACAGGGGCUCCCCAAGGCAGGGAAGGACCACAUCACUGCACUUACUCUCCACUGGUAAUUUUUCACCCUGGCCUGGGGGCAGGGGUAGAAUAUAUAAACACAGGGGGCUGGACCUGUGCCCCCAGGGGUGGUGGCCACCUUGGGGGACAAGGAGGCAAGGCCCCCAACUGCCUGGACACACCAGUAGUUUGGCGAACCAGAGUAAUAAAGGCUGGAUGGCCCUGGGAACAGGAGGACGCUGGCUGAGGAGAGAGCUGGAGUCCCUACCUCGGGACCUCUUCAGGAAGGCCGGGUUCGAUGGGAGCUCUGGAGGGAACAGGAUUCCAGAAGGCAAGCACGCAAAUACAGAGUGCAGACCACAGGGACAGAAGGAAGUCUGAGAGGGCAGUGCCUUCAGUGCCAGUAGGAAAAAACGGGUCCUACCUGAUCCACACUGGAAGGCGAGCCGCAGGGUCCUGGAGUCGGGGAGGAUCCCAGGCCUGUCACUAACAGGCUGCAUGUUCUCAGGCCCGUGUGAGGGCUUAGGCAGUGACAGCUGUGACGUGUUUGACACACCCACCGUGAACGUGUGCCGGACAUAUUCGUUUGUUCAUUCAUACCCAGCGUGGGGCUUGAACUCACGACCCUGGGAUCAAGCAUCGCAUGCUCUACCGACUGAGCCAGCCAGGUGCCCCCAUUCAUUCAGUGUUUACCGUGCCUACUACGUGCCCAGCACUGGGGACAGAGCCACUUAAAACACUGCAUUCUCAGGAAGGGUGUGGUAGGGAGUGGAGGGUAGGACAGCACAACCAAGCAAGGGAACAAAUGGUAUGUCAGAUAGGGAUAAGCACCAUGGAGAAAAGUAAGCAAAGGGCAUGCAGACACCAGCGCUGAGUGGAGCAGGAACAUUCCUUGCUCUCAGAAGAGCGGUGGUCAGGGAAGACUAUUGGACGACAUGGUAUAUGAGCAGAAACCUGAAGGAGGCGAGGGAGUGUGGAGGAAAGACCGUUCCCGGCAAGUGCAAGAGAGAAUUGCAGGUGCAAAGGCCCUGGGGUGGGACCCAGCAGCAACCAGAGCAGAGUGGGCCAGAAGAACUGCAGGAGAUAAGGUCAGGGGGGUAAGUGGAGGCAGAUCAUGUGACACCUUGAGGAUUAUGGGUAGGACUUCUACUUUUACUCUGAGUGGAAUGGGAGCCAAAGAAGGAUUAGGAGGGACCUGGUCUGUCUUGUUUUAGGAGUGAUGACUGUGCUCCUGGGUGGAGAAUGGACUGGGGGUGGGGGGUGAGGUGAAGCUUGGGGGGACCAGUGAAGAGGCUGCUAAAGUAUGAUAGGGGAGAGCAGGGAUCAUGUGGGCCCCUGGAGGGCAGCCCGGAUGAUGAGUAGAGAAAAGGUUGAGUUCUUGGCAUAUUUCAAAGGCAGAGCCAAGAGGAAUGCACAUGAUUUCUUCCUGCCCACCCGCCUUUGGGGGCCCUCAGAAGAGGUUAGCUUGGGAAGCUGGGUAACAGGAGGCUCGUGGGGACCCCAGCCUCCGCCAGCCCCACAAAUGACCUUGGGAAUGCCAUUUGAAGAGUGACUGGGGAGAGGGCCCCCCCC
Ailuropoda melanoleuca (giant panda) is the source of this 2199-nucleotide long non-coding RNA. RefSeq lists it as uncharacterized. Lineage: Eukaryota; Metazoa; Chordata; Mammalia; Carnivora; Ursidae. The record is from RefSeq and is a predicted model, not a curated record. The transcript has 3 exons.